UACGAAGGGGGCUAGCGUUGUUCGGAAUUACUGGGCGUAAAGCGCGUGUAGGCGGUUCUUUAAGUCAGGGGGGAAAUGCCAAGGCUCAACCUUGGAACUGCCUUUGAUACUGGAGACCUUGAGUCCGGGAGAGGUGAGUGGAAUUGCGAGUGUAGAGGUGAAAUUCGUAGAUAUUCGCAAGAACACCAGUGGCGAAGGCGGCUCACUGGCCCGGAACUGACGCUGAGACGCGAAAGCGUGGGGAGCAAACAGG
Molecule: ribosomal RNA, 253 nt
Filed under: uncultured bacterium
Lineage: Bacteria
Description: partial 16S ribosomal RNA
Rfam family: Bacterial small subunit ribosomal RNA
Source: RNAcentral